GACACGUGUUUGCUACGUCCGACUUCCUGCUUCCUCUUGACAACGUCGCUACUAACAACUCAUAACAGCACUCUUUCAAUCUUUUCAACAAACUACUCUGCACAUAUCACGCAAAGGCGCUCGAUCAGACUCAGCAUUUGUAGUCGGGCUCAUUUCGUUAUUUGGUAGCUUAAUUUGUUUGCUCCAAUGUCCCCGGGCAGGGUGACACAGCUCCGGCCAAGCUAGCUAGCUUUACUAGGCAAGAAGACGAAUCCGAAAGCAAACCCAAAUUCGCAAAAUUUUUUUAAAGGAUCAGACGCAAAUAGUCGCUAUAUAAAGUAGGAAAUUGGUGGUGUCUAGCCUUAUUUUGUUGAAUAAAGAAAACAUGCAGUCAUUAUUCUUGUAGUAAACAUCUCCAUUGAGCUUGCAAUGACAGUGCCCGGACGCAACAACCCAUGCAACACAUUUCGAUAUCUUUAUUAUUAUUAUCGUUAUUAUUAUUUGUGUCGCUGGAUGAGGUAGAGCGUAUGCCGGAGGACUAAUGGCGAGAAGAUGAGAUCUACUUUCUGGACCGGUCGCCAGCUCUCCGCCGCAUGCUGGUCACGUGACGUGCGCUAGGCCUCGCUUAGCCUCCUCUGGUUCCGCUCCUCCCGUCGUCGAGUGGAUCGUCCCGGCGUCGUUCCACCAGCACCAAUGCGGCUGUUGGAGCCGCCGCGCCGCCACGACAACGCAUCGGCACAAAGGACAAAGAUGGCCCUCUUUGAUGCUUUUGACGAAAACGACAAACAUCGCAUCGGCCAAACGUAGUAGCAAAGCAUCACGUGACCCCGGGGCGAGUCUUCUUUCUUCUUCUUCUUCUCGUUUGACUUGAAUUGAUACUUCGCAACCUGGCGCCACCUGUCGAACUGGAAGUGGGGAACAGAAACUGUGGAAUUGAUUUAAAAAAAUAUUAGAAAAUACAUUAAAUGUAUUUAUGUAUGUUAUCAUAUAGGUACAUGUAUUUCUGUAUUAAAAGGGCUUCUUGUAAUUGUGGAAACGAUGUGACAAUGAUUUCUGAGGUUAGGAUUUCACCUGAAAUACAUGUUUUAAAAUAUAAAAUGAAUAUUUCAUGUCUA
This is a long non-coding RNA of Syngnathus acus (greater pipefish), 1094 nucleotides long. RefSeq lists it as uncharacterized. The transcript is spliced from 2 exons. The record is from RefSeq and is a predicted model, not a curated record. Lineage: Eukaryota; Metazoa; Chordata; Actinopteri; Syngnathiformes; Syngnathidae.